Molecule: ribosomal RNA, 497 nt
Filed under: uncultured bacterium
Lineage: Bacteria
Description: partial 16S ribosomal RNA
Rfam family: Bacterial small subunit ribosomal RNA
Source: RNAcentral
GAUGAACGCUGGCGGCGUGCCUAAUACAUGCAAGUCGAGCGAACGGACGAGGAGCUUGCUUCUCUGAUGUUAGCGGCGGACGGGAGAGUAACACGUGGAUAACCUACCUAUAAGACUGGGAUAACUUCGGGAAACCGUAUCUUAGACCGGAUAAUAUUUUGAACCGCAUUGUUCAAAAGUGAAAUACGGUCUUUGUGUCACUUAUAGAUGGAUCCGCGCUGCAUUAGCUAGUUGGUAAGGUAACGGCUUACCAAGGCAACGAUGCAUAGCCGACCUGAGAGGGUGAUCGCCCACACGGGAACUGAGACACGGUCCAGACUCCUACGAGAGGAAGCAGUAGGGAAUCUUACGCAAUGGGCGAGAGCCUGACAGAGCAACGCCGCGUGAGUGAUGAAGGUCUUCGGAUCGUAAAACUCUGUUAUUAGUGAAGAACAUAUGUGUAAGUACCUGUGCACAUCUUGACGGUACCGAGUCAGAAAGCCCCGGCUAACUACGUG